Molecule: non-coding RNA, 1955 nt
Organism: Cyanistes caeruleus (blue tit)
Lineage: Eukaryota; Metazoa; Chordata; Aves; Passeriformes; Paridae
Source: RefSeq, a predicted model, not a curated record
AAUGUUUUACCAUCAACUUGUGACAGCAUUUUAUUUUACUUGCUCAUAAAAAACUCAGAGUGAGUUUUCUUUUUAAUGAAGGUAUUGACUUUUACAAGAAAAAGAUUGCUUUUGCAGUGGGAAGCUGAAGAGGUUAUAGUUUACUUUGAAUAUUUGUUUGCUAGUUUCUAUUACUGAUAAUUUGCAUCAAACAUGGAGUUCUUAUACAUUCUUAUAAAAAUAAGAUAACAUUUUCACUUUAAACUCAGGAUCCUUUAAAUAUCAGAAACAAGAAAAAGAGAUAAUUGACAAAGGAGACUGACUGUUUACAGGGGCAUUUACUAUAGAUUCAGCAGGCAGCUGACAGCCAAGCAGCUACUGGGGUAAAAUCCACACGGUCUUAACAAUCCUGAAAUUUGCUGAUUUCAGUGACAGAUUUGGAACUGCCUUAUGGUAAAAUCUGAAUACUCUGCAUUGCUUGAUUAUUCAGGUACUGGUAUACUAUGUGUCUUUGGUAUUUUGUGUAUUCUGUAUAGUAGCGGGUUUUUUUGACUUCUAAAAAAUCUGUCCAGGAAAAAAAGAAGAAUUCACCAAGCAGCUAACUCAUUAGACUAGUGUUAGAUGGCUAAUUGUUAUUUAUGGGGGCUCUUACAUUUUUGGCUCUCUCCAGCAAAAUAAAAGGACAAAAAAUGAAAUGUGAAUGUAGAGUAACAAAAAUAGCACAUGGGAUUAAAAGAGACAUGAGAGACAGAAAAGGAGAAGCAUUCAUGGUCCACAGCACCUGAAAGGUACCAGGCUCCACUUGUGGUGGCUGAAUAAAUUAGGCCUGCCUGAGUUAAAGUUAUGUGACAGAAAUACAUAUAGGAAGCUUGCUGAUUAUGUGGACAUUAUUUUCUGUUAGACAAGUAUUUAUAGCUAAAAUAAAUAACAUGUAUUUUUAAGACUCAUAGGCUGACUCUUGCUAUGCAAAAAGAAUGCCGUCUAAUGAGUAACUCGUGCAGUAUCGAUGGCACCAAGCCUAAGGUAGACGUGACCUGUCAUCCACUACAUCCUUUAUUUUUCUCUGCCAUCUACAGACCUAACCAAGUUGAUUUAGUUUAGAUAAAUAGCUUUGACCCAUAAGUCAGAUGAGUUAAAUCCCACCUUCAGAGCAGAAAGACCAUGAAAUUUUUCUCCCAGACAGGUGAAAGUUGAAAGCCUGCCACCCCAGAGAAUGAAUACAGAAAAACAGAAGGUGAAUGGCAGCAUUGGUAUAUAUUAGGCAAAUGGACUGACUCUAGCUGUGUUAAAAUAAUUUCCCACACUGAAAGGCAAGUAAAAUGAUACAUAUCCAAUAGUUUUUGUGUUCCUUGCAGCCUUGACUUCUGUACUCCAGUGAAUCUGUGCACUGAAGUGUGAUUUAAAUAGAUGCACAUUGUCGAGAUUUAGGGAAUCCUAAGAAAGACUUCCUUAGAAACAUUCCUGUGAAAGUCUCAUCUCCUUGGUUGCAGUGCUGCUUUUUGCUUGGAAUUUAUUAUGUCUUUAAUUUUAUACUGUAUAUUGGUUGUGCUGCAACUUUAUCUUAUUCAGCUAUGGUCUCAAUCUGUUCUUGAAAAGCAGUGUACUUAUGAAAGUGCAUUGAAAUGCAGGAGAAUUGAGAAGAAUCAUCUUUGUGUGGCAUUAUGGGUGUUUAAAGAAAAGUGGAGGAAGAAAUGCAUUUCUGCUGUGCAGUGGGAUCAAUAUUUUGAUGAAUUUUAUGGCAAGCGAGGCUUUCCAUAGAGGAAGCUAAUCUUAACCCUCUUUUAGUUUCCAGGGCCUUAUAGGAGCUACGUUGUUCUUAUUAUACUUAUGAUUGUUCCCUUGUGGAAAUACCUCCUAAAUAUAAUGCAACUUCUGCUACUUCUGUAUGGAUUCCACUGCUCUGCUUCUUCAUACAUCAGAUACCAAUCUGGCUUGGCUCUGUUAGGAUUUAUCCACAGGUACAGCUGGAGAGGUAA